UUUUUGGGCUUGGUAAUUGGAAUGAGGGAGAGUUAAACGGACCAUCGAGUAUCCAUUGGAGGGCAAGUCUGGUGCCAGCAGCUGCGGUAAUACCAGCUCCAAUAGCGUAUAUUAAAGUUGUUGCAGUUAAAAAGCUCGUAGUUGGACUUGUGUGCGCUGUCCGCGGGUGGCCUGCGCCCAAAAGGGCGUUUCGGUUCGGCCCCGGUGGCGCCUUGAAAUCUGCAGCUGGGGGGACGUUGGCCUUAACUGGUCGGCGACCGCACGCCGGUUGCUCGGUUACUGUGAGAAAAUUAGAGUGUUCAAGGCAGGCAUUGGGUGCAAUUGAAUACAUUAGCAUGGAAUAAUAAAAUAUGGCUCCUGCCGUAUUUUGUUGGUUUUGACUGGUGGGAGUAAUGAUUGAUAGGGACGGUUUGGGGUGCUAGUAUUGAGCGGCCAGAGGUGAAAUUCAUGGAUUCGCUCAAGACUAACUUAUGCGAAAGCAUUCACCAAGGACGUCCUCUUUAAUCAAGAACGAAAGUUGGGGGAUCGAAGACGAUCAGAUACCGUCGUAGUCUCAACCAUAAACUAUGUCGACUUGGGAUCGGCGGUAGUUUUUUCAUUAAGACACUGUCGGGACCACGGGAGAAAUCAAAGUGUCUGGACUCUGGGGGAAGUAUGGUCGCAAGGCUGAAACUUGAAGGAAUUGACGGAAGGGCACCACCAGGAGUGGAGCCUGCGGCUUAAUUUGACCCAACACGGGGAAACUUACCAGGUCCAGAGAUGUAGAGGAUUGACAGAUUGAAGCUCUUUCUUGAUCACUUCGGUGGUGGUGCAUGGCCGUUCUUAGUUGGUGGAGUGAUUUGUCUGGUUAAUUCCGUUAACGAACGAGACCUCAGCCUGCUAGUGUAGUCGGCUGGAUUGCCUUUGGCGAUCCGUGAUUUCGACUUCUUAGAGGGACAAUCGACGCGCAGUCGAUGGAAGUUUGAGGCAAUAACAGGUCUGUGAUGCCCUUAGAUGUUCUGGGCCGCACGCGCGCUACACUGCUGGGCUCAGCGAGUUUUACUUGGCCGAGAGGCCCGGUUAAUCUUGUGAAAUCCCAGCGUGCUUGGGCUCGCCUCCUGCAACUGGGGGCGCCAACGAGGAAUUCCUAGUAGACGCAGGUCAUCAACCUGCAUCGAUUACGUCCCUGCCCUUUGUACACACCGCCCGUCGUUCCAUAAGAGUGAGGCAUCCGGUGAAUUCUCGGGAGAGCCUGGGCGUGGCCAGCAAUGGUCUGCUCGGGUUUGAACUUGCAUAAACUUGGUGCCUAUGAUUAGGG
Molecule: ribosomal RNA, 1297 nt
Filed under: metagenome
Description: SSU rRNA
Rfam family: Eukaryotic small subunit ribosomal RNA
Source: RNAcentral